Molecule: ribosomal RNA, 400 nt
Filed under: uncultured bacterium
Lineage: Bacteria
Description: bacterial SSU rRNA
Rfam family: Bacterial small subunit ribosomal RNA
Source: RNAcentral
AUUGAACGCUGGCGGCAUGCCUUACACAUGCAAGUCGAACGGCAGCACGGGAGCAAUCCUGGUGGCGAGUGGCGAACGGGUGAGUAAUAUAUCGGAACGUGCCCAGUCGUGGGGAUAACGUAGAGAAAUUUACGCUAAUACCGCAUACGAUCUAAGGAUGAAAGCGGGGGAUUCGCAAGAACCUCGCGCGAUUGGAGCGGCUGAUAUCAGAUUAGGUUGUUGGUGAGGUAAAAGCUCACCAAGCCGACGAUCUGUAGCUGGUUUGAGAGAACGACCAGCCACACUGGGACUGAGACACGGCCCAGACUCCUACGGGAGGCAGCAGUGGGGAAUUUUGGACAAUGGGCGCAAGCCUGAUCCAGCAAUGCCGCGUGCAGGAUGAAGGCCUUCGGUUGGUAAC